UAACACAGCCAUAUCAGUCUGCAGCCAAAGACCGGUUACACACUGAAGCUAGGCAGGGCUGAGCCUGGUCAGUACCUGGAAGGAAAACCAGAUGGAAAAACUUGGUUGCUGUUGGAG
Ribosomal RNA from Danio rerio (zebrafish), 117 nucleotides. The record is from Ensembl. NCBI's taxonomy places the organism in Eukaryota, Metazoa, Chordata, Actinopteri, Cypriniformes, Danionidae.